This 638-nucleotide ribosomal RNA is filed under the name uncultured Actinomycetes bacterium. Its description in RNAcentral is "bacterial SSU rRNA". It matches the Rfam family "Bacterial small subunit ribosomal RNA", at positions 232 to 885 of the family's 1533-position model. Lineage: Bacteria; Bacillati; Actinomycetota; Actinomycetes. The record is from RNAcentral.
CGCGGCCUAUCAGCUUGUUGGUGAGGUAAUGGCUCACCAAGGCACCGACGGGUAGCUGGUCUGAGAGGACGAUCAGCCACACUGGAACUGAGACACGGUCCAGACUCCUACGGGAGGCAGCAGUAGGGAAUCUUGCGCAAUGGGGGAAACCCUGACGCAGCAACGCCGCGUGUGGGAUGACGGCUUUCGGGUUGUAAACCACUUUCAGUGAUGACGAAAAUGACGGCAAUCACAGAAGAAGGUCCGGCCAACUACGUGCCAGCAGCCGCGGUAACACGUAGGGACCGAGCGUUGUCCGGAUUUAUUGGGCGUAAAGAGCUCGUAGGCGGUUCUGUAAGUCGGAUGUGAAAACUCAGGGCUCAACCCUGAGACGCCAUCUGAUACUGCAGUGACUAGAGUCCGGUAGGGGAAGAUGGAAUUCCUGGUGUAGCGGUGGAAUGCGCAGAUAUCAGGAGGAACACCAAUGGCGAAGGCAGUCUUCUGGGCCGGUACUGACGCUGAGGAGCGAAAGCAUGGGGAGCAAACAGGAUUAGAUACCCUGGUAGUCCAUGCCGUAAACGUUGGGCACUAGGUGUGGGGUCUUCUAACGGAUUCCGUGCCGUAGCUAACGCAUUAAGUGCCCCGCCUGGGGAGUACGG